RNAcentral lists this long non-coding RNA (205 nucleotides) under Nicotiana benthamiana. Its description in RNAcentral is "long non-coding RNA (NBEN_LNC000298)". The record is from RNAcentral. Lineage: Eukaryota; Viridiplantae; Streptophyta; Magnoliopsida; Solanales; Solanaceae.
UAACAUAAGGAUGCUGUAAAACAAUUAGGAUCGCUGAGCCUCACAUUCGUAAGGGGGGGCUGCAAAGUCCUGUUUAAUAUGACUUUGAGAGUGGACAUUCGUCCUGUUCCUACUGUUGUUCUAGUCUAGUCUAACUUUACUUCUAUCUCUCUCUCUCUCGUUUGACAAAACACAUUAGCUGUACCAUAUAAGACAAUCUAUACAU